CCUACGGGAGGCAGCAGUGGGGAAUUUUGGACAAUGGGCGAAAGCCUGAUCCAGCAAUGCCGCGUGCAGGAAGAAGGCCUUCGGGUUGUAAACUGCUUUUGUACGGAACGAAACGGUCUGCUUUAAUACAGUGGGCUAAUGACGGUACCGUAAGAAUAAGCACCGGCUAACUACGUGCCAGCAGCCGCGGUAAUACGUAGGGUGCGAGCGUUAAUCGGAAUUACUGGGCGUAAAGCGUGCGCAGGCGGUUAUAUAAGACAGUUGUGAAAUCCCCGGGCUCAACCUGGGAAUUGCAUCUGUGACUGUAUAGCUAGAGUACGGUAGAGGGGGAUGGAAUUCCGCGUGUAGCAGUGAAAUGCGUAGAUAUGCGGAGGAACACCGAUGGCGAAGGCAAUCCCCUGGACCUGUACUGACGCUCAUGCACGAAAGCGUGGGGAGCAAACAGGAUUAGAUACCCUGGUAGUCCACGCCCUAAACGAUGUCAGCUGUUGUGGU
Molecule: ribosomal RNA, 495 nt
Filed under: uncultured bacterium
Lineage: Bacteria
Description: bacterial SSU rRNA
Rfam family: Bacterial small subunit ribosomal RNA
Source: RNAcentral